AGAGCGAACGCUGGCGGCAGGCUUAACACAUGCAAGUCGAGCGGGCGUAGCAAUACGUCAGCGGCAGACGGGUGAGUAACGCGUGGGAACGUACCUUUUGGUUCGGAACAACCCAGGGAAACUUGGGCUAAUACCGGAUAAGCCCUUACGGGGAAAGAUUUAUCGCCGAAAGAUCGGCCCGCGUCUGAUUAGCUAGUUGGUGGGGUAAUGGCCCACCAAGGCGACGAUCAGUAGCUGGUCUGAGAGGAUGAUCAGCCACAUUGGGACUGAGACACGGCCCAAACUCCUACGGGAGGCAGCAGUGGGGAAUAUUGGACAAUGGGCGCAAGCCUGAUCCAGCCAUGCCGCGUGAGUGAUGAAGGCCCUAGGGUUGUAAAGCUUCUUUGUGCGGGAAGAUAAUGACGGUACCGCAAGAAUAACGCCCCGGACUAACUUCGUGCCAGCAGCCGC
Molecule: ribosomal RNA, 450 nt
Filed under: uncultured bacterium
Lineage: Bacteria
Description: SSU rRNA
Rfam family: Bacterial small subunit ribosomal RNA
Source: RNAcentral